UGUGUGAAUGAUGAAGAUGUUGUUGUUAAACCUAUGAAAUUUGAUUGAAUUGUGUGAUGAUGAAAAUGUUGUUGUUAAACCCAUGAAAUUUUAAUGAAUUGUGUGAAUGAUGAAAACAUUGAUGUUAAACCUAUGAAAUUUGAUAGAAUUGUUUGAAUGAUGAAGAAAAUGUUAUUGUUAAACCCAUGAAAUUUCAUUGAAUCGUGUGAAUGAUGAAAACGUUGUUGUUAAACCCAUGAAAUUUGACUUAAUUGUGCGAAUGAUGAAGAAAAUGUUGUUGUUAUACCUAUGAAAUUUGAUUGAAUUGUGUGAAUGAUGAAAAUGUUGUUGUUAAACCCAUGAAAUUUGACUAAAUUUUG
RNAcentral lists this long non-coding RNA (359 nucleotides) under Lathyrus oleraceus (garden pea). Its description in RNAcentral is "Pisum sativum (pea) long non-coding RNA (PSAT_LNC041178)". Lineage: Eukaryota; Viridiplantae; Streptophyta; Magnoliopsida; Fabales; Fabaceae. The record is from RNAcentral.